CGUGAGAUGUUGGGUUAAGUCCCGCAACGAGCGCAACCCCUGUUUCUAGUUGCCAGCACGUAAAGGUGGGAACUCUAGAGAGACUGCCGGUGAUAAAUCGGAGGAAGGUGGGGACGACGUCAAAUCAUCAUGCCCUUUAUGUCCUGGGCUACACACGUACUACAAUGGCUACAACAAAGAGAAGCGAAGCAGUGAUGUGGUGCAAAACUCAAAAAAGUAGUCUCAGUUCGGAUUGAAGGCUGAAAUUCGCCUUCAUGAAGCCGGAAUUGCUAGUAAUGGCAGGUCAGCAUACUGCCGUGAAUACGUUCCCGGGCCUUGUACACACCGCCCGUCACACCAUGAGAGUUGGGAAUACCCGAAGCCUGUGAGCUAACUUUUAGAGGCAGCAGUCGAAGGUAGAAUCAAUGAUUGGGGUGAAGUCGUAACAAGGUAGCCGUAUCGGAAGGUGCGGCUGGAUCACCUC
Molecule: ribosomal RNA, 463 nt
Filed under: uncultured bacterium
Lineage: Bacteria
Description: bacterial SSU rRNA
Rfam family: Bacterial small subunit ribosomal RNA
Source: RNAcentral